AGUAAACGUUGGCGGCGUGUGUAACACAUGCAAGUCGAACGAUUCUUAGGUGGCUUGCCAUCUAAGAAGAGUGGCGAAUGGGUGAGUAACACGUGAGUAAUCUGCCCUCGAGUGAGGAAUAACUUCGCGAAAGCGGAGCUAAUACCGCAUAAUAUUCUGGAGAAUAAUCUUUCAGAAUUAAAGCCUUCGGGCGCUUGAGGAUGAGCUUGCGUCCUAUUAGCUUGUUGGUAGGGUAAUGGCCUACCAAGGCAAUGAUGGGUAGCCGGCCUGAGAGGGUGUACGGCCACACUGGGACUGCGACACGGCCCAGACUCCUACGGGAGGCAGCAGUGGAGAAUUUUGCGCAAUGGGCGAAAGCCUGACGCAGCGACGCCGCGUGGAGGAUGAAGGCCUUCGGGUUGUAAACUCCUGUCAGAGGAGAAGAAAACCCUUCGGGGUUUGACGGUAUCCUCAGAGGAAGCCCCGGCUAACUACGUGCCAGCAGCCGCGGUAAAACGUAGGGGGCAAACGUUGCUCGGAAUUACUGGGCGUAAAGGGUGCGUAGGUGGCUGAGAAAGUCGAAAAUGAAAUCCCGAGGCUUAACCUCGGAACUGUUUUCGAAACUACUUAGCUUGAGGAUAGUUGAGGAAAACGGAAUUCCCGGUGGAGCGGUGAAAUGCGUAGAUAUCGGGAGGAACACCUGAGGCGAAGGCGGUUUUCUGGACUAUUCCUGACACUGAGGUACGAAAGCUAGGGUAGCAAACGGGAUUAGAUACCCCGGUAGUCCUAGCUGUAAACGCUGGGCACUAGACGUUUCUAUUUUAUAUGGGAGUGUCGUAGUUAACGCGAUAAGUGCCCCGCCUGGGGACUACAGUCGCAAGGCUGAAACUCAAAGGAAUUGACGG
RNAcentral lists this ribosomal RNA (884 nucleotides) under uncultured bacterium. RNAcentral describes it as "bacterial SSU rRNA". It matches the Rfam family "Bacterial small subunit ribosomal RNA", at positions 28 to 916 of the family's 1533-position model. The record is from RNAcentral.